This is a long non-coding RNA of Amphiprion ocellaris (clown anemonefish), 1055 nucleotides long. NCBI's taxonomy places the organism in Eukaryota, Metazoa, Chordata, Actinopteri, Pomacentridae. The record is from Ensembl.
ACUUAUGUGUAGCUUGACAAAAACUGGUUUAGGUGUAUCCCUACUUGUAGUGCAGUAAAUUUGUGUACUUAAUUUAUUGUGCUAUUUCACUGUAAUGAUUUAAAAAUGUUUGUCUGGUAUUCCUCAGGGUUUCUUCAUUCUUGUGUUUGGAACAUUAAUGGAUUCAAAGAUCCGUGCUAUUCUCUCAAAAAGCAUGCCUAGACCAGCCUCUGGAUCUAAUCAAACAAGAAGCACAAGUGGUGGCAUUUCGUCUUUCAGUGGGAUGAAUUUGAUCAACCGACUCCGUGGAAGAAAAAAUGUCUACCGUGUUUCAAAUGCUACAAACUCCAGCAACAACAACAGCAGUGCAUCAGAGACAUUUAUUAACGUGCAUGAGUAGUGGCUCAAUAAUCAUCAUUAAUUCUGCUAUAAAAACAGCCCAGAAGAAGGAAAGCAAGUGUAAUAUAUCUGAAAUGAAAAGUGCAGUGAAACAAUCUUGUGAAUGAAACUGAAAUAGUGUUUUUGAGAGCUGCCACUUGAAGCAGUGUUUUGUAAUGUUGCACAAUGGCCAGAACAGUUAGUAAAGAGCCUGUUAGAAGGCUACAACUUGUAAAAACUAUUGUCUGACUGCAGUUUCAUGACUACAUGUGUAAAGUGUUACCAUUAUUUAAAAGCGAAGUCUUUAUGGUGUACUUUUAAAUUGUGUUGCAUUAAGAAACCUUGUUUUAUUUAAUACCAUUGUACUGGUUAAGUGUAGCGUGUGUCGCAAAAUUGUUGCAGAAAUUAGCCUCAUACUGCACCAAACAAUGUAGAUAAAAGUUUAGGCUGCAACAUACCUAAUGGUAGAAACUACCCUUUAUGAUUUAAAUUGUGCUUGUUAAUUUAGGGUUUCUAAAUUUCCUCAGCUUGUCUGAGAAAACUAUCAAUUUAGACUAAGUCUCAAAGAGACUUUGAUGAAAAAGAAUUUGAUCAGUCUCAUUAUGAAAGUCGUAAACUCUGAUUUCAUUGACUUCCAGUUCCCAAAACAAAGAAAUACAUGGUAGAACCGCUGAUAAUUAUAUCCAAACAUUUAUUAA